AGCGAACGCUGGCGGCAUGCUUAACACAUGCAAGUCGCACGGGCAGAAAUGUCGGUGGCGGCCGGGUGGGUAACGCGUAGGAAGUUGUCCUGAGGUGGGGGACAACCCCGGGAAACUGGGGCUACUACCGCAAAUGGGCUGUGGCCCAAAGCCGAAGGGCGCGUUUGGAGCGGCCUGCGUCCGAUUCGGUAGUUGGUGGGGUAAAGGCCUACCACGCCUGGGAUCGGUAGCUGGUCUGAGAGGACGACCAGCCACACUGGGAUUGAGACACGGCCCAGACUCCUACGGGAGGGAGGAGUGGGGAAUAUUGGACAAUGGGCGAAAGCCUGAUCCAGCAAGGCCGGGUGAGUGAAGAAGGUCGUCGGAUCGUAAAGCCCUUUCGACGGGGACGAUGAUGACGGUACCCGUAGAAGAAGCCCCGGCUAACUUCGUG
RNAcentral lists this ribosomal RNA (433 nucleotides) under uncultured bacterium. Its description in RNAcentral is "partial 16S ribosomal RNA". It matches the Rfam family "Bacterial small subunit ribosomal RNA", at positions 30 to 507 of the family's 1533-position model. The record is from RNAcentral.